This 262-nucleotide ribosomal RNA is filed under the name uncultured Streptococcaceae bacterium. Its description in RNAcentral is "partial 16S ribosomal RNA". It matches the Rfam family "Bacterial small subunit ribosomal RNA", at positions 524 to 786 of the family's 1533-position model. Lineage: Bacteria; Bacillati; Bacillota; Bacilli; Lactobacillales; Streptococcaceae. The record is from RNAcentral.
UACGUAGGUCCCGAGCGUUAUCCGGAUUUAUUGGGCGUAAAGCGAGCGCAGGUGGUUAGAUAAGUCUGAAGUUAAAGGCUGUGGCUUAACCAUAGUACGCUUUGGAAACUGUUUAACUUGAGUGCAGAAGGGGAGAGUGGAAUUCCAUGUGUAGCGGUGAAAUGCGUAGAUAUAUGGAGGAACACCGGUGGCGAAAGCGGCUCUCUGGUCUGUAACUGACGCUGAGGCUCGAAAGCGUGGGGAGCAAACAGGAUUAGAUACC